AUGAGUCAUACAGUAUAGCACUAUAAACUUUUAGGCUUUUUUUUUUUUUUUUUUUUUUUUUUACAUUUCUAAGCAAAGUUUUACAGAACUAAAUAGGAGAAAACAGCUUUACGAUAGGGCAAGGAAAUGUAAGAAAGUUUAAACUAAGACAUUUUCUCAUAGAACCACCUGUGGUGGUAACAAAAAAGCAAGGAAAGUCAAUUUCUUGAGAAAGAAGGAUUUAUUUUCCCUUUGUUUCUUUUUUCAGGUUUUCAUUCUCUCCAUUUAUAUCAGGUGCUACCUGUUCCUUAAAGGUGAUGCACUGCAACUGCACAAAUGGCUUCUAUGCCAUCUCCUUCAAAGGUAGCUUGUAGAAGAAACAAACAAAAGAACUCCCCCUACCUGCUUAAAAAAAAAUAUAGUAAAGAACAUAAUUUCAAUCCAAAGAAAGAAUUUUUGGAGUUGCAAGUACAGUAGCAUGCAUAUGAGGUCUGACAGACACCCUCUUGCGGAUAUCAACCACCAUUAAAAUAUAGAAGCAUUUGUCAGGAACUUCCAGAAUUAAAAUCAAAAAAUAUGAAAUAAAAACCUGUAUUUCAAAGUGCAGUAUAAUCACAUUUUAAUAACAAAGUCAACAUUAUGAUGGAGGAAACCACUAUGAGACUGCGACAUCUUAAACAUUUAUUGAAGAACUAAAGAACAGUAAUGGUGAAAUAAGUCAAUUCUUCCUCUUUAGAGGAAGGAAUCCAGCUCUGAGCUAUGGUUAGGAUGUAACUAUAAUAUCAGUUCCCAAAAUAACAGUCUUAAUCAACAAAGAAUUUCCCCAGUCAAAUUUAAUUUUGUACUAUGAAAAGACAGAAGGCUAACUAUCGCUUCCGUUGUACCAUGACAUCUACGUACAGAUCUGCACAUAAGAGCAGGGAAGCUCACGCUACAACAGCUUGGAUGCAGCCUGCCCAAACACUUGCCUGGAUUACUUGCCCUUUUUUAUUUUCCUGCAGGUCUGUCUCCUGAAGGCUUCACAGUCCCUACCCAGGCAGACAGCUGGAAGGACAUCUCUUUCAUGGAAGUGCCAGCUCCCUCCCCAUCAAGUCUGCACCACACAUCUACUCAGGUGUGAGACUGCAGCAAGUCAGCUGUGAUGACAUCUGUCAGAUAGACCUGAGGUUUGCAGCCAGACGAAGCAACCCCCACCCACAAUACAGUGCUCAGAAUGGCACUUCAAAGCCUAAGAGAAGCUUCUGAUAAUUUGGAGGAUACACUCAGAAUCAGAUGCCUCUGGCAAUUCAGCAUCAAAACCAAAAAGCAGAUGAGUCAGAUCUGAGAGUUCCUGAAGCACCGCUCACUUCUAAAAUGCAUGAAUAGGCUUCCCUGGAAAUAGCACUCAGCUGGAAAAGAACAAGUCAUAAAAGUAAAAACUGCACCAGGGAAUAAGAGAAAGAUAUCAGUCGCCUUUACAUCCUGAAUUUAUGACGCACUUUGUUAUCAUGAAGAUGAGUGUAGUGUAAGAAGUCUUGGUGGGCAGAAUAAAAAGAAGCCAAUUUUGACAGCCUGGUUUUCCUUUUAUUCUUUCAUUCCACCAUCUUCCCUACCUCUUGGUCAUUCCUUCCUAUCAUCGAUACCUUUAAUCCAUAUUCCACUGUCCACAUCACCUUACAGAAUCACGAACACUGUGGCCGCCCUGAUGUUGCAUUACCCUGUAGAUACAAAGCAGUUCAGUUUUACAUAUAGCCAGCCUGGAGUGGUAGAAGACACAGGUCAUCCAAAAAGCCCAGACAUUUCCAGAAAAACUUUGCUAACAGCCAGUCAUCGCUCCCUGAGAAGGAUGUGUUAAUUAAGACACAAGUAUGCUUUUGCAACUUCUUUAAAAUAUCACCUCAAGAGCUCCUUGAGUUUUCAUGAGGAACGGAGUCUCUUCCUGCUUUUUUCAACAAGAUUCAAAUCUGUUGCCUUCAGGUAAGGUUCUUUACAGCCAAGGGCAUAACAUUUCCUCAUAUUGUUACUGAUGCUCUAGUUAACGGGUGUAGCAUUUGCCCUGGAAAUAGAAUAGGAACUCACGGAUUAUAUUAUCCUGAUUAGGUCCUCCGCCACCACCACCACUUGUUUGAAGACUAUCCCAGUUAAGGCCUAACACACAGUUUGCCGUUCAUGCCUACUAGGGGCUACAUUAACAGCAGCAGAUUUGCAAGUAAGUAAAUGCAUCACAAUUCUAUACUGUCACACCUUUUGGCUGAUGGACACUUUCCCAUUUCGCAGUGAACCUGGUGAACUGCAGUGAAUCUUCUGUGGUUUUAAGCCCAACCCGUGAUUACACAGAAAUCUCAAUUUUGCAUUUUAUUUUGCCUCUUAAAGCAGAGUUUGAGCCUGCAGAGUUGUGCAGAGAACUUUAGAAAUAUGUGGUUGUUCAGAAAACAAAAAUCAAAAGAGUAAGCUCAUAUUUUUUAAAUCUAUCUCUGUAUUUUUCAAUCCAUCUCACAAUUACUGGAUGCUCCAGAUUGGACAGUCCAGCUGUAGAGGAAUGAAUUUUACAGAAAUUCAGAACAAAGAGGCAUGGCAAACUACAAGAAGGAUUGUAAAUACAUGCAUAGCUUCCUCUCUGUCAAAGUGUGGUCUGUGCUACACUCAUUUGCAGACCUUUUGAUUUAACAGGCAGCUGGAAAAUCAGGCUUUUCUAGGGACUGUUAGCUGUGGAAUUAAUUCACUGUUGGUCAUUUGUGAAUCGUGUAGAUAUGGUCUCAAAUACUGAGGGAGGAAGCAACUGAAGCACUUCUGUUAUUUUUAUAGAGUUUGAAUGGGAGACUUCUAGUGUACUACAUCUGAAAAUGGA
Molecule: long non-coding RNA, 2806 nt
Organism: Falco peregrinus (peregrine falcon)
Lineage: Eukaryota; Metazoa; Chordata; Aves; Falconiformes; Falconidae
Exons: 3
Source: RefSeq, a predicted model, not a curated record